Molecule: unclassified non-coding RNA, 351 nt
Filed under: uncultured fungus
Lineage: Eukaryota; Fungi
Description: partial contains small subunit ribosomal RNA, internal transcribed spacer 1, and 5.8S ribosomal RNA
Rfam family: Eukaryotic small subunit ribosomal RNA (bases 1-73)
Source: RNAcentral
GCAAACUUGGUCAUUUAGAGGAAGUAAAAGUCGUAACAAGGUUUCCGUAGGUGAACCUGCGGAAGGAUCAUUAUUGAAUAAACUUGGUUAGGUUGUUGCUGGCUCCUAGGAGCAUGUGCACGCCGACUCCAUUUUUAACCACCUGUGCACCUUGCGUAGAUCUGAUACUCUCGAGGAAACUCGGUUUGAGAAUUGCUGUGCGUCAGCCAGCUCUUCUUGUAAUCAGGUCUAUGUUUCUAUAUACCCCAUAUGAAUGUAUUCAGAAUGUCGUAACUGGCCUUUGUGCCUUUAAAAACAAAUACAACUUUCAACAACGGAUCUCUUGGCUCUCGCAUCGAUGAAGAACGCAGC